CGGCGUGCCUAACACAUGCAAGUCGUACGAGAAAGCCGGCUUCGGCUGGUGAGUAAAGUGGCGCACGGGUGAGUAACGCGUGGAUAAUCUGCCCUUAAGUGUGGAAUAACGUACCGAAAGGUGCGCUAAUACCGCAUAAUGCCUGGCAACACAAGUUGUCCGGCCAAAGAAGGCCUCUGUUUACAAGCUUUCGCUUCAGGAUGAGUCCGCGUACCAUUAGCUUGUUGGUGGGGUAAUGGCCUACCAAGGCUGCGAUGGUUAGCUGGUCUGAGAGGAUGAUCAGCCACACUGGAACUGAGACACGGUCCAGACUCCUACGGGAGGCAGCAGUGAGGAAUAUUGCGCAAUGGGGGCGAACCCUGACGCAGCAACGCCGCGUGAGUGAGGAAGGUUUUCGGACUGUAAAGCUCUGUCGAGCGGGAAGAAGUGUACCAUGGCUAAUAUCCAUGAUAUUUGACGGUACCGCUAGAGGAAGCACCGGCUAACUCCGUG
This 492-nucleotide ribosomal RNA is filed under the name uncultured bacterium. RNAcentral describes it as "bacterial SSU rRNA". It matches the Rfam family "Bacterial small subunit ribosomal RNA", at positions 40 to 507 of the family's 1533-position model. The record is from RNAcentral.